AGAGUUUGAUCCUGGCUCAGAGCGAACGCUGGCGGCAGGCUUAACACAUGCAAGUCGAGCGCUCGUAGCAAUACGAGAGCGGCAGACGGGAGAGUAACACGUGGGAACGUACCCUUCGGUUCGGAACAACCCAGGGAAACUUGGGCUAAUACCGGAUACGUCCGUAAGGAGAAAGAUUUAUCGCCGAAGGAUCGGCCCGCGUCUGAUUAGCUAGUUGGUGAGGUAACGGCUCACCAAGGCGACGAUCAGUAGCUGGUCUGAGAGGAUGAUCAGCCUCACUGGGACUGAGACACGGCCCAGACUCCUACGGGAGGCAGCAGUGGGGAAUAUUGGACAAUGGGCGCAAGCCUGAUCCAGCCAUGCCGCGUGGGUGAUGAAGGCCCUAGGGUUGUAAA
Molecule: ribosomal RNA, 395 nt
Filed under: uncultured bacterium
Lineage: Bacteria
Description: bacterial SSU rRNA
Rfam family: Bacterial small subunit ribosomal RNA
Source: RNAcentral